RNAcentral lists this long non-coding RNA (615 nucleotides) under Homo sapiens (human). Its description in RNAcentral is "long non-coding RNA NONHSAT139013.2". The record is from RNAcentral. Lineage: Eukaryota; Metazoa; Chordata; Mammalia; Primates; Hominidae.
UUAUUAGAUGGCUUUAUGAUUACACUGAGCACAGAUGGAGUGAUCAUUUGUGUGGCUGAAAACAUCUCUUCUCUUCUUGGACAUUUACCAGCUGAGAUUGUGGGCAAAAAAUUAUUAAGCCUUCUGCCUGAUGAAGAGAAAGAUGAAGUCUACCAAAAGAUUAUUCUCAAAUUUCCUUUACUAAACUCAGAAACACAUAUUGAAUUUUGCUGUCAUUUAAAAAGAGGAAAUGUCGAACAUGGUGAUAGUUCUGCUUACGAAAACGUGAAAUUUAUUGUGAAUGUAAGAGAUAUUUGUAAUGGGUACAUCAGACUAAGAUUUCUACCAUGUUGAUGAUUUGUGUUUACUUUUUAAGUGUGAUGAAUAUUUGAUACAAUUUGGACAAAGAAAGUUGUGCUUGUAUCUGUUCCUAACCAAAGGCCAGCAGUGGAUAUGGCUGCAAACCCUCUGUUACAUCCAUUACAGCCAUCAUCACCAGUUGCAUAUGACAUCAUUAGCCAGGAACUGGAACUGAUGAAGAAGUUGAAGGAGCAGCUAGAAGAGAGGACUUGGUUGCUGCAUGAUGCCAUCCAAAACCAGCAGAAUGCAUUGGAAUUGAUGAUGGAUCACCUUCAG